CCCCAUUCUGUGUGUGACAGCGGUACAGACGAGAUGUGGAUAGCCGUCUGCCUCUUUCUCGUCUGUCCCGUGGCUGGGAACUCUGUGACCCAGAUUCGAGCGUCUGCGUCAGCCAGGGAAGGGCGGUCCGUGAAACUGAAUUGUCAGUACAGCACCACGUACUCGUACUACGCUCUGGGAUGGUACCAGCAGCUGCCUGGGCAGCAGCCUCUGUUCCUAGUGUACAGAAAUGACAGGGGAAAUGAAUACAAGCCCCAUUCUGUGGCACCUCGGUUUUCCUCCGAGCUCAGCACCGAUGUCAAAUCCUUCACACUGUCCAUAGAAGGGGUGCAACGGGCUGACUCGGCGGUGUAUUUCUGUGCUCUCAUUGGUUUCUGGAAUAUCCUACACUGCCCCCUUCAUUGCCCCGUGGUGGUGGAACAGAAGGUUCAGCACUGGGCCAGAGUUACAUUAUUAGGGAAAGAUGCUUUAGGGACCCGCUCCCCUUUCCCUGCUAGGAGAUCUCAAG
Non-coding RNA from Chelonoidis abingdonii (Abingdon island giant tortoise), 508 nucleotides. NCBI's taxonomy places the organism in Eukaryota, Metazoa, Chordata, Testudines, Testudinidae. The record is from the annotation of a RefSeq genome assembly.